AGCGACACUAUGUGUUGUUGGGUAGGGGAGCGUUCUGUAAGCCUGUGAAGGUGUACUGUGAGGUAUGCUGGAGGUAUCAGAAGUGCGAAUGCUGACAUAAGUAACGAUAAAGCGGGUGAAAAGCCCGCUCGCCGGAAGACCAAGGGUUCCUGUCCAACGUUAAUCGGGGCAGGGUGAGUCGACCCCUAAGGCGAGGCCGAAAGGCGUAGUCGAUGGGAAACAGGUUAAUAUUCCUGUACUUGGUGUUACUGCGAAGGGGGGACGGAGAAGGCUAUGUUGGCCGGGCGACGGUUGUCCCGGUUUAAGCGUGUAGGCUGGUUUUCCAGGCAAAUCCGGAAAAUCAAGGCUGAGGCGUGAUGACGAGGCACUACGGUGCUGAAGCGACAAAUGCCCUGCUUCCAGGAAAAGCCUCUAAGCAUCAGGUAACAUCAAAUCGUACCCCAAACCGACACAGGUGGUCAGGUAGAGAAUACCAAGGCGCUUGAGAGAACUCGGGUGAAGGAACUAGGCAAAAUGGUGCCGUAACUUCGGGAGAAGGCACGCUGAUAUGUAGGUGAAGCGACUUGCUCGUGGAGCUGAAAUCAGUCGAAGAUACCAGCUGGCUGCAACUGUUUAUUAAAAACACAGCACUGUGCAAACACGAAAGUGGACGUAUACGGUGUGACGCCUGCCCGGUGCCGGAAGGUUAAUUGAUGGGGUUAGCGGUAACGCGAAGCUCUUGAUCGAAGCCCCGGUAAACGGCGGCCGUAACUAUAACGGUCCUAAGGUAGCGAAAUUCCUUGUCGGGUAAGUUCCGACCUGCACGAAUGGCGUAAUGAUGGCCAGGCUGUCUCCACCCGAGACUCAGUGAAAUUGAACUCGCUGUGAAGAUGCAGUGUACCCGCGGCAAGACGGAAAGACCCCGUGAACCUUUACUAUAGCUUGACACUGAACAUUGAGCCUUGAUGUGUAGGAUAGGUGGGAGGCUUUGAAGUGUGGACGCCAGUCUGCAUGGAGCCGACCUUGAAAUACCACCCUUUAAUGUUUGAUGUUCUAACGUGGGCCCCUUACCGGGGUUGCGGACAGUGUCUGGUGGGUAGUUUGACUGGGGCGGUCUCCUCCUAAAGAGUAACGGAGGAGCACGAAGGUUGGCUAAUCCUGGUCGGACAUCAGGAGGUUAGUGCAAUGGCAUAAGCCAGCUUGACUGCGAGCGUGACGGCGCGAGCAGGUGCGAAAGCAGGUCAUAGUGAUCCGGUGGUUCUGAAUGGAAGGGCCAUCGCUCAACGGAUAAAAGGUACUCCGGGGAUAACAGGCUGAUACCGCCCAAGAGUUCAUAUCGACGGCGGUGUUUGGCACCUCGAUGUCGGCUCAUCACAUCCUGGGGCUGAAGUAGGUCCCAAGGGUAUGGCUGUUCGCCAUUUAAAGUGGUACGCGAGCUGGGUUUAGAACGUCGUGAGACAGUUCGGUCCCUAUCUGCCGUGGGCGCUGGAGAACUGAGGGGGGCUGCUCCUAGUACGAGAGGACCGGAGUGGACGCAUCACUGGUGUUCGGGUUGUCAUGCCAAUGGCACUGCCCGGUAGCUAAAUGCGGAAGAGAUAAGUGCUGAAAGCAUCUAAGCACGAAACUUGCCCCGAGAUGAGUUCUCCCUGACUCCUUGAGAGUCCUGAAGGAACGUUGAAGACGACGACGUUGAUAGGCCGGGUGUGUAAGCGCAGCGAUGCGUUGAGCUAACCGGUACUAAUGAACCGUGAGGCUUAACCUU
This 1741-nucleotide ribosomal RNA is filed under the name Escherichia coli. RNAcentral describes it as "partial 23S ribosomal RNA". It matches the Rfam family "Bacterial large subunit ribosomal RNA", at positions 1207 to 2925 of the family's 2925-position model. The record is from RNAcentral. Lineage: Bacteria; Pseudomonadati; Pseudomonadota; Gammaproteobacteria; Enterobacterales; Enterobacteriaceae.